UAGUAUGUAAGUAAUCGAGAAACGACUA
RNAcentral lists this non-coding RNA (28 nucleotides) under Mus musculus (house mouse). Lineage: Eukaryota; Metazoa; Chordata; Mammalia; Rodentia; Muridae. The record is from RNAcentral.